UACGGAGGGUGCAAGCGUUAUCCGGAUUCACUGGGUUUAAAGGGUGUGUAGGCGGGCUGUUAAGUCAGUGGUGUAAUCUCCGGGCUCAACCCGGAAACUGCCAUUGAUACUAAUGGUCUUGAAUUUUGUUGAGGUAGGCGGAAUAUGUCAUGUAGCGGUGAAAUGCUUAGAUAUGACAUAGAACACCGAUUGCGAAGGCAGCUUACUAAGCAAAUAUUGACGCUGAGGCACGAAAGCGUGGGGAUCAAACAGG
This 253-nucleotide ribosomal RNA is filed under the name uncultured bacterium. RNAcentral describes it as "partial 16S ribosomal RNA". It matches the Rfam family "Bacterial small subunit ribosomal RNA", at positions 524 to 776 of the family's 1533-position model. The record is from RNAcentral.